Molecule: long non-coding RNA, 257 nt
Filed under: Elaeis guineensis (African oil palm)
Lineage: Eukaryota; Viridiplantae; Streptophyta; Magnoliopsida; Arecales; Arecaceae
Description: long non-coding RNA (EGUI_LNC022972)
Source: RNAcentral
GUCUGCCAAUUGCAAUGUGAUUUUUGUAAGCUUUAAUUCUCCUAUCUCCAGUUUUUCAUAGUAAGAUGUUCACACUAGCUCCUAAGUCUAAUAAGGCCCUAUCGUUGAUGAUUUCUCCAAUGACACAAGAGAUUGUAGGAGAUCCUAGAUCUUUGUAAUUGAUAGGCAUGUGGCUCGAAAGAUAUGAGCUCACGCUACCAAUCAACAAAGCUUUCUUGAAAAUGUUGGUAGUUUUCUUCUUUAUGCAUAGGUCUUUG